RNAcentral lists this transfer RNA (74 nucleotides) under Verrucomicrobiaceae bacterium. Its description in RNAcentral is "tRNA-Pro". It matches the Rfam family "tRNA". Rfam says of the family: Transfer RNA (tRNA) molecules are approximately 80 nucleotides in length. Their secondary structure includes four short double-helical elements and three loops (D, anti-codon, and T loops). The record is from RNAcentral. Lineage: Bacteria; Pseudomonadati; Verrucomicrobiota; Verrucomicrobiia; Verrucomicrobiales; Verrucomicrobiaceae.
CGGGUCGUAGUUCAGCUUGGUAGAACGCUUGAAUGGGGUUCAAGAGGUCGAGGGUUCGAAUCCCUCCGACCCGA